RNAcentral lists this long non-coding RNA (886 nucleotides) under Hordeum vulgare. RNAcentral's name for it is "long non-coding RNA (HVUL_LNC005661)". The record is from RNAcentral. Lineage: Eukaryota; Viridiplantae; Streptophyta; Magnoliopsida; Poales; Poaceae.
CAUCGCAACUGUAGAUGCUCUUAAGCCUUGUGUAGGGGUACUAUUCCGGUUAUAACCCUGGGUCGACCCUAGGCCGGGCUUGGAAAGGCCCUACCUGAAGAUGUCACGCCCGGCCCCGGAUCAAAAGACGUUUUUGUAUUUAAAAAUAUAUUUGUCACAAAAGAAUUAAAAAUAUAUAGACAGUUUUUGGAAUCAAAUACUGCCAAUGUAUACUAAAUAAGACAUUUUUGCGGUUUAAGUUAAACUGCAAAUAAAAAUAAACGUCUUACAUUAGUUUACUCAUAGAGUAAUACUCACUUCGUUUUGAGUUAAGACAUUUAUUUUAAGACGGAUGGAGUAGAUGAUUAUACAUGUGUUUUCCGGAAGUUCCACCAAUCAUAUUGUUCUCCAUAUCUAUCAACGGUCUAUUCACCAUGUUAAUUAAGACAUCAUCUCUCUCUAUCACUUGCUCACGACUCGUGUGCGCUUGUUCUCUCUUUUUCACAUUGGGUCUUUUACUCUCGAUGCUAUGAAUAGAGUAGCGGCAAGAGCGCCCUAUUUAGGGUUGCUUUGAUUGAAAUGAGUUUCAUAAAACAGGAUCUAGAUCUUUAGAUGGGUUUUCCACAUGCGUCAUUCGAUUCACUGGAAUGCAAAUACUUAGGGAGAAUUCACAAGGAUUGUUUUGUGCGUUAUUUAGGAGGAAAAAAUUCAUCGCUCAAGCAUCCAUAUAACUCUUUUGUUUUUCUCAUGACAUCAAACACUUUUUUGAUCGAAAUUCAUGUGGUUUUCUAAUCCUGUAGGAUUCAAUAUGGCAUGCCAUUCUAGUCUCGUGCUUUUCUUAUUCCUACAUCUUGAAAAGUCUACAAAUCAAAUAGGCCUUAUAUAAGAGAUGAACGUAUGUUGCGAG